GCCUUGCUAGCUCAAUCGGUAGAGCGUGAGACUCUUACAAAGCAAGUCUUCACUUGUAUCUCAAGGUUGCGGGUUCGACCCCCGCGUGAGGCU
Non-coding RNA from Gautieria morchelliformis, 93 nucleotides. NCBI's taxonomy places the organism in Eukaryota, Fungi, Basidiomycota, Agaricomycetes, Gomphales, Gomphaceae. The record is from the annotation of a GenBank genome assembly.